CUUCUCUUCCUGUUAGUCACACUGGGAGGAGGGCUCAGCACAGUGGGCCGGUCAUAAAUUACCAUGUGGGUCAGAGCAGCCCAAGUGCAAUACCAAGGGAAACAUAAAUCUUGGCUCGAGUCCUGUGAACAAUUCGUGAGAAAUCCGAAUGUAUUGAAAAAUCACAUGUUUACAGAGGGAUUGGAGACUAAGCCUAUCUUUAAAUUCAGCAGGCCCAGAAUUAAUCUUGUCUUUUAUCUAAACCAGUGUGAGAACCCCAGAAUUAGAUGACUAGUCUGAAGAAAACUCGACUUUCUGACUAGAAAUUGCCCACAAAUUCAAACACAGUUGUGUGUACGAUUUCUGGAGGUUUGUGGCUACUCUGAGGUUCAUCCACAAUUCUCAGGGUACCUAUGCUGACCCCACAGCUUACGUGUUGUGAAUUGGGUUUCAAC
Molecule: long non-coding RNA, 434 nt
Filed under: Heterocephalus glaber (naked mole-rat)
Lineage: Eukaryota; Metazoa; Chordata; Mammalia; Rodentia; Bathyergidae
Description: lncRNA (ENSHGLG00100038402.1)
Source: RNAcentral